RNAcentral lists this ribosomal RNA (254 nucleotides) under uncultured bacterium. RNAcentral's name for it is "partial 16S ribosomal RNA". It matches the Rfam family "Bacterial small subunit ribosomal RNA", at positions 1246 to 1500 of the family's 1533-position model. The record is from RNAcentral.
GAAGCGAGCAUGUGAAUGUGAGCAAAUCCCAAAAUAACGUCUCAGUUCGGAUUGUAGUCUGCAACUCGACUACAUGAAGCUGGAAUCGCUAGUAAUCGCGAAUCAGAAUGUCGCGGUGAAUACGUUCCCGGGUCUUGUACACACCGCCCGUCACACCAUGGGAGUCAGUAACGCCCGAAGCCGGUGACCCAACCAAACGGAGGGAGCCGUCGAAGGUGGGACCGAUAACUGGGGUGAAGUCGUAACAAGGUAUC